This 3628-nucleotide long non-coding RNA is filed under the name Homo sapiens (human). Its description in RNAcentral is "non-protein coding CYTOR:96". The record is from RNAcentral. Lineage: Eukaryota; Metazoa; Chordata; Mammalia; Primates; Hominidae.
CUUAGUCGUGUGUACAUCAUUGGGAAUGGAGGGAAAUAAAUGACUGGAUGGUCGCUGCUUUUUAAGUUUCAAAUUGACAUUCCAGACAAGCGGUGCCUGAGCCCGUGCCUGUCUUCAGAUCUUCACAGCACAGUUCCUGGGAAGGUGGAGCCACCAGCCUCUCCUUGGUGAGUAUGUUUCUGUCAUUUUUAGGGUUGCUUCUGCAGUUUGCCUUGGAGUCUGGGCUGUGGGAAAGGCUGCUGCGUCCUGGUGAGGACACUGCGUUUCUUUCAGACUUUGAAGAUCUGUCGUUUUAGAAAAGUGGCUGCCUCUGUCACCAGCCCCAUGGUUACUGUCCUUUAGUGUGACUGUCAGGAGGUGUUUCUCAGUCCUUCGUUGUAAGAAUGUAGAUGCCGGUUGCACCUUCUGUUGUCUUGGAAGAGACUGCAGUGCUUGGCUGGAAAAUAAGCUGCUCGGGACUCCUCUGAGAAGCCAAAGUGAAGCUCAGAGAUGGAAGUGGGUAUACUUGUGCUAACCCAGGGUUGCUGAGGUUGGGUGAGCUUCCGCUUCUCCGAGGUGGAGGAGAGGCAGCUCCUGAGCCAUUUCUGGCCUCGUGGUCAGAGCUGCCCAAUUUCAGUGUGAGAAAUACCAGAGAGGCAGAACUUUGGCUGCCUUCUCUAAAAGCAUAUGAAUGAUUGCAGGAGCGUAUUUUACGUCCUUUCCUUUUCCUUAACGUUGAAAGUCACAAACUGUAGUAAAAUCAGGAAGAACGUAAAAAUGCUGGGGGCCAGCGCUGGGGGUGGGGGACUGGGGAGGACUGAGGAGGGGGCCACUCAGUCUUUGAGGCCUGACUUGAUCUUGAUAGGUAUUUCUCAGGCUGUUAGUAUUCCGAUGAAGCUUAGCUUUACUGUCAAGUAAAAUACAGGAAACAUUUUUUUUUAAUGUUGUUCUAGUUACUGUAAAUGAAACGGUUAAAAUGUCAUAAAUACCUUAUGAUAAACAUUUUUCAAAUUUGCUUAAAAAGCAACACAUCAGUAGGCAGGGUAUGACAGGGAGCUUUUUCAGUACAGUCAUUUGAGUGUGUGGGCUUCCUGAGUUAAUAAUGAGUCAGCACCCAAUUCUAAAAUUGGAGCAGCUAAGAGAAUGUUCAAUCUGCUCCUCAGCACAGCACGGUGGCUGGCCGGCCCCCCGUAGGAAGGCUUGGGGUUAAAAUCGACUUAGGAUGCCGCCCUUAUGUAAGUGACCAGCUCCCAGCUUGGGUCCCAGCUCCUCUGGGCUACUGCUGAGAGACCCCCUCUGCUAAGGGAUCUGUCUCUGAGGCAGGAGCUAACACAUUUGGCUUCCAACCUUUGGCUAAUGUUGACGAUUUUUAGGUUGUCUUGAGGCAACAGGUUGAACAUAGUUUCUGAAAUGAAAAAUCUAGUGUUUAUUAAGGCUAGGGCAGCUGAGGGCUGAGCCUGCAUCUGGAGCCUUGAGAUGUUCCGCUUGCACGUCACCCUCGCCGAGGGAUUGGGCGGGAGAGUCGGUCACCGAGUGAACUUCAAAGUUGGCGCUCUGCAUGUGACGUGUAGCGUGGGAAGAUUAAGUCAGCUUAAAAUGAGAGAACAAGAUUCCAAGGAAGAAAACCUCCCCAGAACCUUACUCGUUUAUAGAUAAAAGAAGAUAAAUAUUGAGAAAAUUAAAAAAAUAAAACGAAAUAGUUGGGCUGCAAACCAGCAGCUCUGGGACCAGAUGCAGCCCUGGUGAAGGCAUCCCCCACCAGGUUCUGUUUGGCCUGCUCAGGAUUGUUUUUUUGUGUUGAGAUAACUGUGGGUGGGGUCCACACUCUCCGGAUCUCAGGCCCUGCCACACCCUAAUGCCACAAAGCUUGGAGAGUGCGAUUACAGCGAGGCUCAGAAGCCAGGCUGAGGGCCUGCCAGCCUCGUGGGGCUGCUGUGUGGUCCCCAUGGGUUAGCAUCUGCCCGGCCGCCGGAACAGGGCCUGGAUGGAGAAGGAACUCCAUCAGCACUAACUCUGCUAGACUCUCUUAUUAAUCUGCCCUCUGAAGGCAUUUGGGCUUGUGGCCCUUGAGUUAGUUCCAUGGCUUUUUCAAGAAAGAUCCUGCAGUUCCAAUGUGAGCAGCAGUUGUUUCCAAGGCUAACAAUUUCACGCCAACUAGAAGCCUCCACAAGUCAGGUGCCAGGCAUUUCUAAGCCAGUAGAGCAGCUCCGCUUGUUUCUCUGGGUGAGUCCUCUCAGGGUGAGACCCUGUCUCCUUGUAAGCACUCGGAGACGUGCCACCUUCAUGGAGACGGGAGCCAAUCAAAGGCAAACUGCGUUAGACAGCUCUUCCAUGCGGUAUGGACACCAACAUUCGAUCAUCCUUGUUUCAGAGAAGGUGCCGGGCCCCAGACAUGUGCUUAUCACUGGGUCCCAUGGCCUUCAAUCCUUUAAAGGGUUUUAAGGUGGCUGAUUUUUAUCCCAGACAUUGAUCAUGUUUUUUUUCAUGCAGAAUUUGGGCAGUUGUCUGGACAUUAGGAGUUGAGUCACCUCCUACCCAUGAGGAACAAGCCUGUGGGGGGACUGAUAUUAUCACUUCUGUCAUCAAGAAAUAAGGCCGCAGGCAUCCCUGAAUAUAGAGCAUUUAUUAAUCGAACUGUGAAAAUGAAACACAGACAGUGAUGACAGCUGGAAGUUGGCCAAUGUCCUGUUGUCAUAUUGCCCUCAGCCUAGGGACUGGCCUGUGGCUCACUGACCCUGUCUCCCACUCUCCACCUCUCAUCAGCAACUGGACCUGGUGCACCUGGUCUACCUCAUGUCCAGUGUUUUCCGCAGUACCUGACUGGUAUCCCCACCCUUGGUUGUUGUGUGGUGAGCUCGUCCCUAUGUUGGCAAGUUACUUAAUUCCUAGGUGUCCCGCCUUCCUCACUGUAAAAUGAGAAAAGUCAUAGCACGAAUGUCAUGAGUCCUUGUGAAGAUUUUAUGAUUAGCACACAAGUUACAAGGAGACACGAUAACUGUUACGUACGUACUCAUUCGUUCGGAAAUAUAACAGACAGCUUAGUAUCUCCACCCGGGUCCCUCUGCCCUGUGGGAAUCCAUAAAGAAUUGAUUCUCAUCCCCCAGAAGUGAGAUCCCGCUUGUGUCAUCAAUUACAUGGCAUGUUCUGCAUUUACAGGACAUUUAUUUAUUAGGUAAGUGGGGAAUCCUCCUUGGUUCUCUCCAGGAAAACCUGGAGUUCUAGUUAUCAUCAUCAUCAUCAUCAUCAUCACUGUCAUCAUCAUUGACAUCAUCACAAUAAGAACUCCCAUUGUAUUCAGCCCUAACCGUAUGGUAGCAACUUUAUGGUAUUCCCUUUAACCUCCCCCCACCCCAAUAUCCAUCCUGGAAGAUGGGAAGGAUGAUAGGUUUGUUGACUCACUCAAGGCGGUGGGACUCUCCAGCAGGUAUCAGGCACAGCAUCUGCUUCAAAGAACACAUCGGCGACAGGGGAGCCCCUUGCACUCACUCAGGACAGGAGAAUCAGGAAAAGCAGCAGAUCUGCAGGGCUUUGUGUGUAAUCCAACCAGACUGAUGCCACAGGCCAGGAAACCGAGGACGGUUGGCUUCAGACCUACCCUGGAGUGGAAGCAGCUGGAUUCUGUCCUCACGCUUCCUGUCUAAAGCCAGCU